AUGGUCCUUCUUUUAAGGAAUUUAACCUCAUCCAAACACAUAGGACCACUGCAUACCAUUAGGUUCACGAUUAUUUUCAAGUUUUAUCCUCUUCUUCUUUUAAAUUUUAUUAUUAUUAUUUUUAAUUUAGAGAAAGAUAUAUGGCAUUUACAUAACACUGAAGUUAGAGGAGGGAGGAAGAGGCACAAAGGAAAAAGUGACCAAAAUUUGGGAGGAAGCCCAAGAAAAACAUUGAGAGGAAGGCCCUGCAUCUCACUAUGACAGACUGAAGGACAGCAUUUAAUUUCCUUUCCUCGAGUAUAAAAUAAACACUCUUAAGAUUAUUUCACAUUAGAUCUCUUCUAUUAUUGACAAUGGUGGUCAUUUGAUUUUAUGAAGAAGGGAAAAUUUGAGGAAAUUAUCGACAUAAAACUACCAGCAAUAAUUUAAAAUUAUGCAUAUCUUCUAAUUAGUAUAUGCUUCUGGUUGUUCAGUUGCUAAGUUGUGUCCGGCGUUUUGUGACUCUGUGGACUGCAGCACACUAAGCUUCCCGGAAGUUCAUCACCAAUGCCGGAGCUUGCUGAAACUCAUGUCGAUUGAGUCAGUGAUGCCAUCCAACCAUCUCAUCCUCUGUCACCCCUUCUCCUCUUGUGCUGAAUCUUUCCCAGCAUCGGGUCUUUCCAAUGAGUCAGUUCUUUGUAUCAGGUGGCCAAAGUAUUGGAGCUUCUGCUUCAACAUCAGUUCUUCGAAUGCUUAAACCUCAAAAUAUUCUGUUUCCUUUUACUUGUUUUUCAUGCACUUAAUGUAAUCCAUUGCUUAAACCAAAUACUUUGUGAUUCUUAAUCAUUAUAAACACACCUUGGUUAAAAUGUACUUAGUGGUUUUAGAUGUGCACUUUUAACACAUCUUGGAGUAUAAAGAAAGAGCACACAAUGGCAUCCAUGAGAGAAGCCAGAAGUAUUUUAGGUAAACGAUUUCAGUAAAUUCUCAAAGGUUUUGUCUUUUGUGUGUAUCAGAGAGUUUACAGAAAAUUUAAGUAAGCACAUAGGAUCAUACUCCAUCAUUUUAGUUUCUCUAGUUUAUGUUUUUAAAAAAAACAAAACAAAAACUCCUGGGUCAUGGAGACACAGGGAUUUUCAUCAGGCGUGCCUCUGCUCUCAGUCUUUCUGCUUGGAUUUUGCUUCUCUCUUUCUCCUGUACAAAAGCAUGUCUGGCCCUGGUUCAUUUAUACUCUACCUCCUGCUCUUUCUUUGCUCUUUAUGGAGGCAGUAAAGGGAAGUGCAUUUUAUGUACUAGCUGUUUAAAAGCUCAAAGAUUCUAGACACAGUGGAAUAUAGCUUUUACUAAAUUGAACAUAACUGCCAGCACCAAAUCAUACAUGCACAGCUGGGAAAGCAAUGUAACAUAAUGUGUACAUAUCUGCCCAUAAUUUGCUAUGUGCAACUCUAAGUGCAAAAUGCAUAAAUGAGAUUAAAUUUUGAUAUGGAAAAUCAAGCUAUUAGUCUUACUUUAAAAAUAAUUUCAGUUAUAGAAAUGGAGUGCAGACUUUGUAUUUAAAAAAAAAGAAUCGCAUUAAUUUUGUGUCUUUUAAACCCAAGACACUAUGUCUUAUUUCCCUGUGUCUAACAUAUACACAAGCCAAAUCCUAUCCUGUUCUAAAACACAUUUGUAGUUUCCUAGGUGGAACAGCAUUAUUCAAAUGGACAGGAUAUAAGUCAAACUGCUUUGUUACAAAAUACAGAAUUACCGGGUCAUAUGUCAUUGCAACAAUCUGAACCUAUUUUCUGAUAUUUACUAUCAUUAGUCUCCAUCCGUUGGACUUUAAUCAAGUAAGAGUUUAAAAUGUAAAUUGAAAAGUUUAACCAAACUAAAACCAAAUAUGGGGAUGUAUAAAACAUGUUUAUAUAUGUAAAUAGAAGUGAAGUUUGACAGGUCAUGUCUGUCAAUUUAUUACAACGUCCUGACUAUUUCCUCCUCUGUAUUUCUCAAAUCCCUCCUUUCCUCCAUCUCCAUCUCUCCCUCUGAAUCCAAUCCAAUAUCCUUUCUUAUGGGUUGAUGUAAGUUCUCUCCUAACACACUUUCCCCUCAUCCACUCCAAACUUUUCUCCAUCUUACAGUUAAGUGAUUUAAAAAUAAUAAUAAUAAUAUAUAUAUAUAUAUACACACACACAUAUAUUUAUACAUAUAUUAUGUAUAUAUACCAGAGAAGGCAAUGGCACCCCACUCCAG
Molecule: long non-coding RNA, 2208 nt
Filed under: Bos grunniens (domestic yak)
Lineage: Eukaryota; Metazoa; Chordata; Mammalia; Artiodactyla; Bovidae
Description: lncRNA (ENSBGRG00000024260.1)
Source: RNAcentral